UACAGAGGGUGCGAGCGUUAAUCGGAAUUACUGGGCGUAAAGAGCGCGCAGGCGGUCGUUCAAGUCGCGUGUGAAAGCCCCCGGCUCAACUGGGGAGGGUCACGCGAUACUGAUCGACUCGAAGGCAGGAGAGGGUAGUGGAAUUCCCGGUGUAGUGGUGAAAUGCGUAGAUAUCGGGAGGAACACCAGUGGCGAAGGCGACUACCUGGCCUGUUCUUGACGCUGAGGCGCGAAAGCUAGGGGAGCAAACGGG
RNAcentral lists this ribosomal RNA (253 nucleotides) under uncultured bacterium. RNAcentral's name for it is "partial 16S ribosomal RNA". It matches the Rfam family "Bacterial small subunit ribosomal RNA", at positions 524 to 776 of the family's 1533-position model. The record is from RNAcentral.